AAGGCGACGAUCUGUAGCGGGUCUGAGAGGAUGAUCCGCCACACUGGAACUGAGACACGGUCCAGACUCCUACGGGAGGCAGCAGUGGGGAAUUUUGGACAAUGGGGGCAACCCUGAUCCAGCCAUGCCGCGUGAGUGAAGAAGGCCUUCGGGUUGUAAAGCUCUUUCGGCCGGGAAGAAAUCGCAUGGGUCAAUACCCUGUGUGGAUGACGGUACCGGAAUAAGAAGCACCGGCUAACUACGUGCCAGCAGCCGCGGUAAUACGUAGGGUGCGAGCGUUAAUCGGAAUUACUGGGCGUAAAGCGUGCGCAGGCGGUUUUGUAAGACAGGCGUGAAAUCCCCGGGCUUAACCUGGGAACUGCGUUUGUGACUGCAAGGCUAGAGUACGGCAGAGGGGGGUGGAAUUCCACGUGUAGCAGUGAAAUGCGUAGAGAUGUGGAGGAACACCAAUGGCGAAGGCAGCCCCCUGGGUCGAUACUGACGCUCAUGCACGAAAGCGUGGGUAGCAAACAGGAUUAGAUACCCUGGUAGUCCACGCCCUAAACUAUGUCAACUAGGUGUUGGGUGGGUAAAACCAUUUAGUACCGUAGCUAACACGUGAAGUUGACCGCCUGGGGAGUACGGCCGCAAGGUUAAAACUCAAAGGAAUUGACGGGGACCCGCACAAGCGGUGGAUGAUGUGGAUUAAUUCGAUGCAACGCGAAAAACCUUACCUACCCUUGACAUGCCAGGAACUUGCCAGAGAUGGCUUGGUGCCCGAAAGGGAGCCUGGACACAGGUGCUGCAUGGCUGUCGUCAGCUCGUGUCGUGAGAUGUUGGGUUAAGUCCCGCAACGAGCGCAACCCUUGUCGUUAAUUGCCAUCAUUUGGUUGGGCACUUUAACGAGACUGCCGGUGACAAACCGGAGGAAGGUGGGGAUGACGUCAAGUCCUCAUGGCCCUUAUGGGUAGGGCUUCACACGUCAUACAAUGGUCGGUACAAAGGGUUGCCAAGCCGCGAGGCGGAGCCAAUCCCAGAAAGCCGAUCGUAGUCCGGAUUGCAGGCUGCAACUCGCCUGCAUGAAGUCGGAAUCGCUAGUAAUCGUGGAUCAGCAUGUCACGGUGAAUACGUUCCCGGGUCUUGUACACACCGCCCGUCACACCAUGGGAGCGGGUUCCGCCAGAAGUAGGUAGCCUAACCGCAAGGGGGGCGCUUACCACGGCGGGGUUCGUGACUGGGGUGAAGUCGUAACAAGGUA
Molecule: ribosomal RNA, 1237 nt
Filed under: metagenome
Description: bacterial SSU rRNA
Rfam family: Bacterial small subunit ribosomal RNA
Source: RNAcentral